AAUAUAUAUAUAUAUAUAUAUAAGAGUGUAUUUGUAACUAUGUGGUAUACAUGCAUGGCAUGGAGAAAAAUCCGUUCUUCUAUGGCAAGAUUAAAUAUAGCAACAUAAUUUGAUAUCGUAUGUAAUCAUAUUCCGUAUGUUCAGGGAUUCGAAUCUCGUAAUUAUCGUUGGUGAUUAAUAUCUCACAUAUCUUUGUAUUUAAUUGAUGAGAUACAUCUCCUUGUAUAUAAAAGUUGUGUAAUCGCGCUCUAUGAUGAUAUAUAUAAAGAAAUAUUUCUUC
Molecule: small RNA, 280 nt
Filed under: Arabidopsis thaliana (thale cress)
Lineage: Eukaryota; Viridiplantae; Streptophyta; Magnoliopsida; Brassicales; Brassicaceae
Description: putative long intergenic non-coding RNA
Source: RNAcentral